This 253-nucleotide ribosomal RNA is filed under the name uncultured bacterium. RNAcentral describes it as "partial 16S ribosomal RNA". It matches the Rfam family "Bacterial small subunit ribosomal RNA", at positions 524 to 776 of the family's 1533-position model. The record is from RNAcentral.
UACGUAUGGUGCAAGCGUUAUCCGGAUUUACUGGGUGUAAAGGGAGCGUAGGCGGCGCGUUAAGUCUGAUGUGAAAGCCCGAGGCUCAACCACGGGAGUGCAUUGGAAACUGGCGUGCUGGAGUGCCGGAGAGGUAAGCGGAAUUCCUAGUGUAGCGGUGAAAUGCGUAGAUAUUAGGAGGAACACCAGUGGCGAAGGCGGCUUACUGGACUGUAACUGACGUUGAGGCUCGAAAGCGUGGGGAGCAAACAGG